RNAcentral lists this ribosomal RNA (632 nucleotides) under uncultured bacterium. Its description in RNAcentral is "bacterial SSU rRNA". It matches the Rfam family "Bacterial small subunit ribosomal RNA", at positions 28 to 684 of the family's 1533-position model. The record is from RNAcentral.
GACGAACGCUGGCGGCGUGCCUAACACAUGCAAGUCGAACGGGGUAGCAAUACCCAGUGGCGGACGGGUGCGUAACACGUGAGGAACAUGUCUUUCGGUGGGGAUAGCCGGCCCAACGGCCGGGUAAUACCGCAUACGCUGACUUGAGCUCCUGCUCGAGUUCGGAAAGCAGCAAUGCGCCGAUUGAGUGCCUCGCGGCCUAUCAGCUAGUUGGUGAGGUAAUGGCUCACCAAGGCGACGACGGGUAGCUGGUCUGAGAGGAUGGCCAGCCACAUUGGGACUGAGACACGGCCCAGACUCCUACGGGAGGCAGCAGUGGGGAAUAUUGCGCAAUGGGCGAAAGCCUGACGCAGCGACGCCGCGUGUGGGAUGACGGCCUUCGGGUUGUAAACCACUGUCGGGAGGGACGAAGCUCUGACGGUACCUCCAAAAGGAAGCACCGGCUAACUCUGUGCCAGCAGCCGCGGUAAUACAGAGGGUGCGAGCGUUGUCCGGAAUCACUGGGCGUAAAGGGCGCGUAGGCGGCCCGGUAAGCAGGGGGCUGAAAUCUUGCGGCUCAACCGCAAGGCUGCCUUCUGAACUGUCGGGCUGGAGCACGGUAGAGGCAGAUGGAAUUCCCGGUGUAGCGGUGG